AUGCCUAGCCAGGACAUGCUAACAGCAAUCAGUCCCCCUCCUCGCCUCCUGCAAGAUGCAUUUCUACCUCUCCAGGACAGUGACCUUGUGCUUGUCCAGCUUGGUAGCAGGUCAGCACAUCCCUACUCCACCUUCAUGCCAUCAUCCCUGCUGUUGGUCAGAAAGGUCCAAGUCAGGAACAACCUGAGGGGGCAGAGGGGGUCCUGGGCCAGCCCUGCCCCAGACCCCAUCACUGGGGCCUGGGGAGCUCCCAGCCACAGCAGUGGCACCACUGACAUCUCCCCAGCAGCAACACUCACAGCUUCUGCCAGGUCCAUGCAAGGGAAACACGUCCAUGACCCUGCCCUGGCGCUCAGACAGGCUGCGCUGAGCCCCAGGUGCCUCCCACCCCCCCCCCCCCGCCCCCGGGCUGCCUUUGGGACCACUCGCCUCCCAAAUCCCCCCGCGCGGAGCCCCGCUGCCCGGGGCAGCCGCUCCAGCUGGGAACGCCAGACCGCAGCCGCCUCCUUCUCGCAUGGCCCUGUCCGGAUUGCCAGGGCGGAUCGGGGCCCUUUGCCCCCUGCCGGGGCAGAGGAGGGGGGGUCUGCUCCGAACGGGAAGGGACGUGGGGACUUUUUUUUUUUUAUUAUUGUUAUUAUUUAAUUCCCAAGGUCGUAGGAUUUACAGCCCGCGCUUACGUACUAUCAUCAGACACAGCCAAAUAAAAAUGAUAGAUUUCUGCGCUUGCUUUACA
RNAcentral lists this long non-coding RNA (733 nucleotides) under Apteryx haastii (Great spotted kiwi). RNAcentral's name for it is "lncRNA (ENSAHAG00000018504.1)". The record is from RNAcentral. Lineage: Eukaryota; Metazoa; Chordata; Aves; Apterygiformes; Apterygidae.